Molecule: small nucleolar RNA, 216 nt
Filed under: Nicotiana attenuata
Lineage: Eukaryota; Viridiplantae; Streptophyta; Magnoliopsida; Solanales; Solanaceae
Description: snoRNA Plant_U3
Rfam family: Plant small nucleolar RNA U3
About the family: Small nucleolar RNAs (snoRNAs) are involved in the processing and modification of rRNA in the nucleolus.
Source: Rfam by way of RNAcentral
ACGACCUUACUUGAACAUGAUCUGUUCUAUAGGCUCGUACCACUGUAUCCUUGAGUUCUAAGGAGACAGGAAACCAAGUCCGGUUGAUGAGUCAGGUCCAUUAAACCAGAGCUGUGAUUAACAGCUCCCACAGCCCUUGGGUUAUGAUGCCAUAGAUGAUCGUUCUCAGCCCCUAACUACGGGUGUUGGGAUGGUCUAAUGGCUGUCUGAGAAACU